GACGAACGCUGGCGGCGUGCUUAACACAUGCAAGCCGAACGGUGAAGCAGGAGCUUGCUCUUGUGGAUCAGUGGCGAACGGGUGAGUAACACGUGAGUAACCUGCCCCGAACUCUGGGAUAAGCGUUGGAAACGACGUCUAAUACUGGAUAUGUUGCGCGAAGGCAUCUUCUGCGCAUGGAAAGAAUUUCGGUUCGGGAUGGACUCGCGGCCUAUCAGCUUGUUGGUGAGGUAAUGGCUCACCAAGGCGACGACGGGUAGCCGGCCUGAGAGGGUGACCGGCCACACUGGGACUGAGACACGGCCCAGACUCCUACGGGAGGCAGCAGUGGGGAAUAUUGCACAAUGGGCGCAAGCCUGAUGCAGCAACGCCGCGUGAGGGACGACGGCCUUCGGGUUGUAAACCUCUUUUAGUAGGGAAGAAGCGAAAGUGACGGUACCUGCAGAAAAAGCACCGGCUAACUACGUGCCAGCCGCCGCCGU
This 482-nucleotide ribosomal RNA is filed under the name uncultured bacterium. RNAcentral's name for it is "bacterial SSU rRNA". It matches the Rfam family "Bacterial small subunit ribosomal RNA", at positions 28 to 521 of the family's 1533-position model. The record is from RNAcentral.